AAGGGGUACAGAAAUUGGAAAACGUCAAAGCAUAACUGGCUGGCUGUAUCGCUUUUCAAUCUUUGUUUCGUGGCCUGAAUGGCUAGAGGACCAACCUUUAUCCCGCGACCUCUUCCACGUUCGAUAUCCUUUCACGACGCAAAAUGAAUGACGCUGGAAAUAGAGGACUGCCACUUCGAGUGGGAUUGAUGUACGAUUCCGAUUAAAUGAUCCACUGUGAAAUUCCGUGCAGAGUCAAGUACGAAGUCAUAAAGAAAUUAGUUAUUAGAUUGGAAAAAAUAACUCACAUAUGCUAUGUACUUUUCCUUGAUCAAAUUAGCUCUUUAAUUUCUAUCGGACAUUCUAGUGAUUGGUUUUUAGAAGCUUUUUAAGAAGUUUGUAGGUUUUACAUAAAAUGGCCAUUAUCGGUCCAAUCGUAUUUCUCAAAUAAAAAUAUAAAGGAGUUGUUAUUGAUAUACACGAUUUUCUGUUUCAUUGUUUAAACAUUUUCUAAAAACAUUAGAAGUCUUUCUGUUUAUCGAAAUAAAAAUAAGAUUGUGUAGUAUCGUGGACGAAAGGCCUAAGAGAUAUCGGGCGAACUAUAAACAAUGUCGCGAGAAAGCCAAAGUGCCGACAGACCUAACAAUGUAUUGUCGGUCCUUCGAUCGAAUACUUUCGUGGAAAAGGCCUGCGUGACCCUGGCCACGAGCGGUUGCGGAACACGUGCGUGGUGGGGCUAAGACAAAAGACAAGGGGUUGCUAAGGAACAAAGACGAAUUAACAGUUAGUGCGAGUUGAGAAGCUAGACAGUGUAAAUCGAGAAGUCAGGGAGAUAGUGUUGCUAGCGUUGUCAAGAGUGUGGUCCGCGUGAAAGAGGAAACGUUGGAUUCGUGGUGACGAGAGCAAAUUAACUAUCAAGUUAUCUUAAUUAUAAUACGUUAUUGUGAUUAAUUCACGUUAAACAAUCCUCGUUUCCUAUUUAACCAACAUAUUUUUAAUUCAUUUAUUGUAAAUAAACUAAUUGUAGUAAAGAUCCUACAAUUGAAGAAUCAAAAAUUAGGAUAAAAAUUCAAGGAUCAUAGCAGGCUUUAAGUUUUAUAGAAAAGUGGUAAUAAAAACGACAUUGAAUUUCAAUAUGUUAGUAUACACCUUUGUUCAUAAGUAUAUGAAACACCUAUUAGUUACGAAACGGAAUAACUGGUGACUGACCUAGAUUAUCAUCUUUAAAGUGUUAACCUUUGGAUCCGCAAUUCUUCUGAAAGUUACUAUUUAAUAAUAAUUUAACAAGUAUUAUUGAUUUGCCAGUAAAAAGCACAUUGCAAGUUGUACAUAAGAAAGAUUAGAUUAAAAAUAAAUAAAUAAAUAAAAAUUGGACUAGAAUAAGUGAAAAAAUCUAUAAUUAUACAGAAUACGCUUAUAUUAUAGUUUUAGCCUUUGUUUAUUUUCGUCUCGGUCGUUAAAUGUUUAUUUUAUGACAAUAAGAUCACAAGCUUUAAACAUAAAGUAUCUGUAUGGUUCAGAAUUGACUCAACCUCCACCACCCGAGAGUUGAGAAGUAUCAAGGAAAAGAAAUUUUACGAUAUUAAAAAGUUAUUUCAUUUACUACAUGAAAGAAACUGUGUAAUACUAAUGUUUCAUUAUAUAACUAAGAUUUUUAUUAAGAGCUAUAACAUAUUUUAAAAUAUAUAAUUCAUUAAUCUGAUUUAAUAUUUUUCGCGAAAAUCAUGAAAUUUAUUACCACAUUUUUAAAAAACUUCAUUUCUUUAUCUUGGAUGCAAAGAGUACAUUAAAAUUUCUUUGCCCAAAAUAUGUUACUUCUUAUUACUCCAAUGUCGUCAGUUGUGACAAGUUUGGGCAGGUUUAUGAUAGGUUUAUAUUAUGUUUUUGUUUAUGUAAAAAGCUGGUUCUGGAUUAGAUUUCGGUUAGGGUAGAUUUGAAUUACCUUUAGUUAGGUUUAGUUUACGCUUUUCUUAGGUCUAUGUUAAGUUUAUUCAGGUUUGAAUUAGGCUUGGGUCAAUCAGUCCUUACCAUUCCAAUGCUGUCAAUUGACAUAUAAUAUUUCUAUUCUAGUAAUUAGAGAAAUGGAAAUUAAGUAAACAGUUUUACCCAUUGAAUAUAGCUAUAAUAUAGCGAGUAUUUUAGUUCAGAUAUUCUAUAUAAUUUUGCAUAUUACAUACAUUUUCGGCAUCAUUUUACUUUUAACUUUUCAAUGCAACGAGUUAAAGUAAAAUGUUGAUUUGCGUUUGUUAUAAUUGCUAUACAUUGGAUUGAGAUUAUUUGAUCUUGAUUUCCAUUACCAAAACGAAUGAUUCACUCCGCGUGUUUCCCCGACAAAGCGUCUCUGUAAACCAAAUACAUAAACUCUGCCACAAAAACUUGCUCGAACCAUAUUUUAAACAUAUCUUCCCCACCACCGAACUCGUCUAAAACGUUCCGUUCGACCUACCAGCCGGUCGAUCCAGCAAACAGAAACAAAAAGAAACGAAACGGACGACGUAUCCGGCAACGAUGCGCCGAUUGAUGGCCAUUGUCCUCACGCGACUCGAGGUCCGGGACGAUUCUCUUCUCCGCGUGUUCUCUGCACCGGCAAUGAUGUAUGGCGCGACUGCACUUUAGCGACUCAGCCGGUGGAAUUUCGUCCCCCGGGAGCUGGCAGACGUUUAGAAGGAAAAAAACAGGCGACAAGGAUCAAAUAGCAGGCUUGAACAGCGACGGUAUGCAUUUGUAACGAUUUCGGGGUUAAGACGGCUUGUACACGUUACUAUCCGUAAACAGAGGGAUACCUUGGUCGGGUUUUAGUAAUAAUACAUAUAUUACCGUUCUCAAAUAUCUGAACUCCGUGAUCGAAUAAUAAAUAAACUCUCUUCUUUCUCUGCGGAUGUUUCUUUGCGGCUCACGAAAGUAGUCGAAUGCCUACAUAUGCAAACUUGGAUGGCCGAAAUAAUGUACAUUAAAGUAAUUUGUUUAGACAAGCAGAUAUCAAUAGGAAGAUGGAAGUCUUAAGAUUAUGUCAGUGAAAUUUGAAAAGGAUUCAAUAACGUAGGUAGAAGUUAUGAUACAUUUAUUAGAAACACGCAUUGUAAAUGACUCACAAAAAUAUUUGAACGCUACAUAUAUUAUUAAAUUAUUUAAUAUUAAUAUUUUGUUGGACCACCUUUAGCAGCAAUAAUGAAUCUCAAUCGACGUUCCAUACUGUAAACCAAUGAUUUUGUAAAGCUACACUCAACGGAGUUUCAUAUUUCUAUAAUUUUAUCUUUCAAUACUUGCUUUGAGGUUAUCUGAAAUUUAUUUAACCUUUUUCCGAUUUCAGCCCAUAUAUCUUCAAUCGGAUUUAUGUCUGGAUUUUGCGGUGGAAUAAUUAACAUGUGUGGUGUGUUAUAUACGAUCCAUUCUUUCACAAUUCUAGCAGUAUGCUUAGAAUCAUUAUCUUGUUGAAGUAGAAAUCUUCCAAUAAUCCUAAUUUAUGAACUUUAUUUAUUCUUUAAGGUUAUUUUUUAAAAUAUUUAAAUACUUACAUUUAUCAAGUAUUCCAUCAAUAAAUAUCAAAUUUCCGGUACCACUGACAGCCAUACACUCCCACACCAUGACUGAUCUACGUCCGUGUUUUACUGUUUGAUGUAAAUGUCGAAUUUCCAAUUCCGUAUUUGGUUUUUUCCACACAUAAUUUUGACCAUCCGAGCCAAAAAUGUUAAACUUUGACUCGUCCGAAAAGAUGACUUUAUCCCAAAAAGAAUUAUCUUUAUUAAUAUAUUUUUGCAAAAGUCAAUCAUUUUUUUUAUUUUUUUUUAUUUUUUAUUUUUAUUUACUGCAUUAAUAUAUGGCUUCUUUCGCGGUACUCUGCCAUGAAAAUCAUUGUUUCAUAAGAUUCGUCGACAUAAUUCCGGGUGAACUGCUUUAUGAAACAUAUCAGCUACCAUACUUGCGAGUUGAGGAGCGAAUAUAGUAGGAUUUUUUUUUUAAUUCGCGAAUGAUAACUUUCUCCUCUCUUCCAGUCAGUUUCUUUGGUCGACUUGAUCGAGCUUUGUAUGCAAGUGUUCCCUUAUUCUUUGACUUUUUUAUGAUAUAAUGUAUUGUAGACUUACUUCUGUUCACAAUUCCGGCAAUCUCGUUAUAUGAUUUGCCGUCCUCAUAUAAUAGAAUAUUAUAUUUCUCUUUCACACUUUUGUUUCAGACUUUUUGGUAUUCAUUUUAAAUACUAUUAUGCACACUUUUACUGUUACUGAAACCAUAUCUUAACAUCAAGUGAACGUAGCAAUAUUUUCAUUUAGCAAUGAUGUUUACAUUCGGUGCAAAGGAAGAUGAAAAACUAUCAACAAUGUUACAGCGUUCGAAUACUUUUGUGAGACACUACAGAGGUUAAAUAUGGAAAAAGUAUAUGGCAAUUAUAUAAAAUAUAUAAAUAUGCACAAAAAAUAUGGAAAAUAUGUCAGCAAUAUGUAUGAUAUAAGUUUUAGGAUCAAAUAUUACCUAAGAUAUAACAAAGUUGACAUUUUACAAAAAAUAUCGCGGAUAUUCAAAUCUCCAAUUAUCUCUAGAGUCCACCCCUUGGACAAUCCACUUCAAAUUCCCUAAAUCCCUGAACGGCCGCGCAACGAAACCUGUUAAAUAACUUGAAGUAAAUAUCACAUUGCGUUAAUUUUACACGGCAAAGAUAGAGCGACGUAACCGAGGUAAGGCACAAAAGAAGUUGAUAUCGAAAUUAUUUAUCAAGGAAGAACAUCGUAUCUGCAUAUUGUUACACUACUUUUUAGUUUAAUCUGGUAAGUAUUUUCCCACCCAGUAUGAUGAAUAUUAUUGUAAUUCUUUUAUUUAGUCUGUUGGAUUCAGAAUAUGUAAAAGGAAACGGAAAUCCAUCAGGCAAGUGCUACCCGUCAACAAAGAAAAUGAAAUCUCCUUUAACCCACCCUCACCAAUUCUCUACUCUCUUAAAACGUGAGCAACAUCAGGCACAUGCGGUUAUUCUUCGAAUUCUUUAAAAAUACCGUACAAAGAACAACCAGAUCUUAUCAUUCUCUAAAAUGCCCGAACAACGCCGGCCACACGCGGCUAGUAGUAUAUGAAUAGUAAAUAAAAAAAUAAAUUCUAGUAACGAAUUCUGAGAGUCUUACAAUCCUUAAAUAAUAAUAAUAAAAAAUAAAUAAUUUGAGUAAUCCUAAAAAUUUAUAAAUUUAAAAAGAUACUAAUUCUGAAAGUCCGCGAAAUCUAAAAAUCUGAUUAAAAAUUCUUGAAAUUCUUAAAAUUCUAUUUGUUGCUAAAUCCUUAGAUAAGUCUUCUUCAAGUAACGAAUGAUCGAAUUGUUGUGCCGGUCUGGCCCUGUCUGCCUUAAAUUUAAAUGUAAGUUUAUAAUACACUCACAUACUACUAUUGAAUAAGCGCUAAAUAUUAAAGGUUUAAACAGCAAUCAUGUUUUUCGAUGUUCGCGUUGGCAAUAAAAUUGAUAUGUCCAAAGUAAACUAAAUUAAAUAAAAUUAAUUAAAUUAAAACCUAUUUAAUAAACUAAAUUAAAUAAACUAUUAAGCCUCCGAAAAGUAUAAAUCUAAAAAUGUUUUAUUAUUAUAUAUUCAUUUCUAAAGUCAACAAUACCAAUGUAUAUUAUUAAGAUAAGUUACAAUUAUAAACCUAAUUUACUUCCUUAUGCAAAAAGUAUUAGAAACUGUUGUAAAAAUAUGAAACUGCCCCAAAGGUACAUAUAAUAAAAACUUAUGUGAACAUGUUUAGAUACUUAAUAUUCGACUUCAAUAUCUAAAAAUUCUUAAAAACGUUAAAGAUGGAUCUUUUAUCUUGUUUCCGUCAUUCGUGUAGUUAAAACAAAAUAUAAUUCUUUGUCUGCUUCCGUCGGAAGAAACUCGAGGGUCAAAACGAAAGGAAGAAGUGGAAAAAAACUUCAAAGGCUGCAUCUCGAUACCACUCAACGAGAAAUGUAUCCAGAGUAAACUGGCGGCUUGGAAACGGGUAGAUGUGGAUCGUGUUGUCUUUGUACUGGAACGAUGGAGCGAUUGAUCAGGAAAUAUUUGCAUGAGAAACGCGUACAUGGAACAGUUGCGCGAUCCUCUUCGAUGGAAGGAAGAAUAUCGAAGACGUCGAUCGACGACCCACUUCAGCGUGAGUGGAUUGCUAGUCAUUUGCAACGAAGAUAAUAAUAUAGCGCGUUAUUUAUACGGAUUUGACAAAAUGCAGAUAUUGGUAAUAGCGAAAGAGCAAUAACAAUCGAAUUUUUUACAAUUUGAAGAAACUGAUAUGUCAUUUCAAACAUUUGGUUUCAAUUCGUGAAAUUAGUGAUUCGUAUUAUGUGAUAGUUAUAAAUAUUGAAUUGUUCGGAAAAUUCACGGUGAAAUUGAAAAAACUUUUCAACUGGUAUUAACGACGACUGAAAUACAAAAUUUUUAUCAAAUAGAUCAAAAUAACAUUAGAAAGAUACUGUCCUAUCUGGACAAUGCAGUGCUAAUUCAAUAUCGAAAUUUUUAAUUAUUCCAACUUAUUAUGUGUAAUAAAGUUCUUUCUGGUAUCAACAGCGAUUUUCAUACCCAUUAACGCGACUAUAGAGCGUAAUUCAUCAAGAAUUCCAAUUUCACCAUGACAGCUUUCCGGAAUCCAUCAUGAAUCGAAGAAAAAAUCCGUCAGAGAAACCAGUUUCUCGUAGAUAGUAGGGAAUUAUCCGAAUCCAAUUAAUUACCACUGACAUGGGUUGUGCACCAGUGGACUAAUACGUAACGAGCUGAAAUUAGGCUUUGUAACACUUUUAUUUAAAAACAGGCUGCUAAGUUUCACGUGUAUCACGUGAUCAUCCGUCGUAACGUGGGCGUAAGUUCCGCCAGAGGUGAAACUUUCUGAUUUAUCAAACUGAAAAUCUAUUUGGCUCCUCUAUUUGUUCACCAACUUUUAAUUGCAUCGCCCGCUUUAUCCAUGGCGUCCAUGAAAACGUUAUAGACAAGCUUGAGCACAUUUUAUAUGGAAUAAAACAAAAAAUAACAUUUUGAAAUAAUGAAUUAUUUCAACUGAUUUGUUAUUUUAUUUUAUGCAUAAUAUAGAAAAAGUAACUUUUUUUUAUGUGAAAUACAAACAGAGCAUUUCUGAAUAAUUUCUCAUUCCAAUCAAUUAAAUUGUUCAAAGAAAAUAAUAAAUAAUCUGAUACAUAA
This is a long non-coding RNA of Bombus terrestris (buff-tailed bumblebee), 7115 nucleotides long. RefSeq lists it as uncharacterized. Lineage: Eukaryota; Metazoa; Arthropoda; Insecta; Hymenoptera; Apidae. The record is from RefSeq and is a predicted model, not a curated record. The transcript is spliced from 2 exons.